This 2929-nucleotide ribosomal RNA is filed under the name Bacillus thuringiensis. Its description in RNAcentral is "bacterial LSU rRNA". It matches the Rfam family "Bacterial large subunit ribosomal RNA". The record is from RNAcentral. Lineage: Bacteria; Bacillati; Bacillota; Bacilli; Caryophanales; Bacillaceae.
UUUGGUUAAGUUAGAAAGGGCGCACGGUGGAUGCCUUGACACUAGGAGUCGAUGAAGGACGGGACUAACGCCGAUAUGCUUCGGGGAGCUGUAAGUAAGCUUUGAUCCGAAGAUUUCCGAAUGGGGAAACCCACCAUACGUAAUGGUAUGGUAUCCUUAUCUGAAUACAUAGGGUAAGGAAGACAGACCCAGGGAACUGAAACAUCUAAGUACCUGGAGGAAGAGAAAGCAAAUGCGAUUUCCUGAGUAGCGGCGAGCGAAACGGAACAUAGCCCAAACCAAGAGGCUUGCCUCUUGGGGUUGUAGGACAUUCUAUACGGAGUUACAAAGGAACGAGGUAGACGAAGCGACCUGGAAAGGUCCGUCGUAGAGGGUAACAACCCCGUAGUCGAAACUUCGUUCUCUCUUGAAUGUAUCCUGAGUACGGCGGAACACGUGAAAUUCCGUCGGAAUCUGGGAGGACCAUCUCCCAAGGCUAAAUACUCCCUAGUGAUCGAUAGUGAACCAGUACCGUGAGGGAAAGGUGAAAAGCACCCCGGAAGGGGAGUGAAAGAGAUCCUGAAACCGUGUGCCUACAAAUAGUCAGAGCCCGUUAACGGGUGAUGGCGUGCCUUUUGUAGAAUGAACCGGCGAGUUACGAUCCCGUGCGAGGUUAAGCUGAAGAGGCGGAGCCGCAGCGAAAGCGAGUCUGAAUAGGGCGUUUAGUACGUGGUCGUAGACCCGAAACCAGGUGAUCUACCCAUGUCCAGGGUGAAGUUCAGGUAACACUGAAUGGAGGCCCGAACCCACGCACGUUGAAAAGUGCGGGGAUGAGGUGUGGGUAGCGGAGAAAUUCCAAUCGAACCUGGAGAUAGCUGGUUCUCCCCGAAAUAGCUUUAGGGCUAGCCUUAAGUGUAAGAGUCUUGGAGGUAGAGCACUGAUUGGACUAGGGGUCCUCAUCGGAUUACCGAAUUCAGUCAAACUCCGAAUGCCAAUGACUUAUCCUUAGGAGUCAGACUGCGAGUGAUAAGAUCCGUAGUCAAAAGGGAAACAGCCCAGACCGCCAGCUAAGGUCCCAAAGUGUGUAUUAAGUGGAAAAGGAUGUGGAGUUGCUUAGACAACUAGGAUGUUGGCUUAGAAGCAGCCACCAUUUAAAGAGUGCGUAAUAGCUCACUAGUCGAGUGACUCUGCGCCGAAAAUGUACCGGGGCUAAAUACACCACCGAAGCUGCGGAUUGAUACCAAUGGUAUCAGUGGUAGGGGAGCGUUCUAAGGACAGUGAAGUCAGACCGUAAGGACUGGUGGAGUGCUUAGAAGUGAGAAUGCCGGUAUGAGUAGCGAAAGACGGGUGAGAAUCCCGUCCACCGAAUGCCUAAGGUUUCCUGAGGAAGGCUCGUCCGCUCAGGGUUAGUCAGGACCUAAGCCGAGGCCGACAGGCGUAGGCGAUGGACAACAGGUUGAUAUUCCUGUACCACCUCUUUAUCGUUUGAGCAAUGGAGGGACGCAGAAGGAUAGAAGAAGCGUGCGAUUGGUUGUGCACGUCCAAGCAGUUAGGCUGAUAAGUAGGUAAAUCCGCUUAUCAUAAAGGCUGAGCUGUGAUGGGGAAGCUCCUUAUGGAGCGAAGUCUUUGAUUCCCCGCUGCCAAGAAAAGCUUCUAGCGAGAUAAAAGGUGCCUGUACCGCAAACCGACACAGGUAGGCGAGGAGAGAAUCCUAAGGUGUGCGAGAGAACUCUGGUUAAGGAACUCGGCAAAAUGACCCCGUAACUUCGGGAGAAGGGGUGCUUUCUUAACGGAAAGCCGCAGUGAAUAGGCCCAAGCGACUGUUUAGCAAAAACACAGCUCUCUGCGAAGCCGUAAGGCGAAGUAUAGGGGGUGACACCUGCCCGGUGCUGGAAGGUUAAGGAGAGGGGUUAGCGUAAGCGAAGCUCUGAACUGAAGCCCCAGUAAACGGCGGCCGUAACUAUAACGGUCCUAAGGUAGCGAAAUUCCUUGUCGGGUAAGUUCCGACCCGCACGAAAGGUGUAACGAUUUGGGCACUGUCUCAACCAGAGACUCGGUGAAAUUAUAGUACCUGUGAAGAUGCAGGUUACCCGCGACAGGACGGAAAGACCCCGUGGAGCUUUACUGUAGCCUGAUAUUGAAUUUUGGUACAGUUUGUACAGGAUAGGCGGGAGCCAUUGAAACCGGAGCGCUAGCUUCGGUGGAGGCGCUGGUGGGAUACCGCCCUGACUGUAUUGAAAUUCUAACCUACGGGUCUUAUCGACCCGGGAGACAGUGUCAGGUGGGCAGUUUGACUGGGGCGGUCGCCUCCUAAAGUGUAACGGAGGCGCCCAAAGGUUCCCUCAGAAUGGUUGGAAAUCAUUCGUAGAGUGCAAAGGCAUAAGGGAGCUUGACUGCGAGACCUACAAGUCGAGCAGGGACGAAAGUCGGGCUUAGUGAUCCGGUGGUUCCGCAUGGAAGGGCCAUCGCUCAACGGAUAAAAGCUACCCCGGGGAUAACAGGCUUAUCUCCCCCAAGAGUCCACAUCGACGGGGAGGUUUGGCACCUCGAUGUCGGCUCAUCGCAUCCUGGGGCUGUAGUCGGUCCCAAGGGUUGGGCUGUUCGCCCAUUAAAGCGGUACGCGAGCUGGGUUCAGAACGUCGUGAGACAGUUCGGUCCCUAUCCGUCGUGGGCGUAGGAAAUUUGAGAGGAGCUGUCCUUAGUACGAGAGGACCGGGAUGGACGCACCGCUGGUGUACCAGUUGUUCUGCCAAGGGCAUAGCUGGGUAGCUAUGUGCGGAAGGGAUAAGUGCUGAAAGCAUCUAAGCAUGAAGCCCCCCUCAAGAUGAGAUUUCCCAUAGCGUAAGCUAGUAAGAUCCCUGAAAGAUGAUCAGGUUGAUAGGUUCGAGGUGGAAGCAUGGUGACAUGUGGAGCUGACGAAUACUAAUAGAUCGAGGACUUAACCAUAUAA